RNAcentral lists this transfer RNA (70 nucleotides) under Treponema sp. RNAcentral's name for it is "tRNA-OTHER". It matches the Rfam family "tRNA". Rfam says of the family: Transfer RNA (tRNA) molecules are approximately 80 nucleotides in length. Their secondary structure includes four short double-helical elements and three loops (D, anti-codon, and T loops). Further hydrogen bonds mediate the characteristic L-shaped molecular structure. tRNAs have two regions of fundamental functional importance: the anti-codon, which is responsible for specific mRNA codon recognition, and the 3' end, to which the tRNAs corresponding amino acid is attached (by aminoacyl-tRNA synthetases). tRNAs cope with the degeneracy of the genetic code in two manners: having more than one tRNA (with a specific anti-codon) for a particular amino acid; and 'wobble' base-pairing, i.e. permitting non-standard base-pairing at the 3rd anti-codon position. Lineage: Bacteria; Pseudomonadati; Spirochaetota; Spirochaetia; Treponematales; Treponemataceae. The record is from RNAcentral.
GGAUAGUAGCUCAGUGGUUAGAGCGGAAGUUAAAUCUUCAAUGUCGCAGGUUCGAUUCCUGCCUAUCCCC